RNAcentral lists this ribosomal RNA (465 nucleotides) under Vreelandella stevensii. Its description in RNAcentral is "partial 16S ribosomal RNA". It matches the Rfam family "Bacterial small subunit ribosomal RNA", at positions 338 to 795 of the family's 1533-position model. Lineage: Bacteria; Pseudomonadati; Pseudomonadota; Gammaproteobacteria; Oceanospirillales; Halomonadaceae. The record is from RNAcentral.
CCUACGGGGGGCUGCAGUGGGGAAUAUUGGACAAUGGGGGGAACCCUGAUCCAGCCAUGCCGCGUGUGUGAAGAAGGCCCUCGGGUUGUAAAGCACUUUCAGUGAGGAAGAACGCCUGGUGGUUAAUACCCAUCAGGAAAGACAUCACUCACAGAAGAAGCACCGGCUAACUCCGUGCCAGCAGCCGCGGUAAUACGGAGGGUGCGAGCGUUAAUCGGAAUUACUGGGCGUAAAGCGCGCGUAGGUGGCUUGAUAAGCCGGUUGUGAAAGCCCCGGGCGCAACCUGGGAACGGCAUCCGGAACUGUCAAGCUAGAGUGCAGGAGAGGAAGGUAGAAUUCCCGGUGUAGCGGUGAAAUGCGUAGAGAUCGGGAGGAAUACCAGUGGCGAAGGCGGCCUUCUGGACUGACACUGACACUGAGGUGCGAAAGCGUGGGUAGCAAACAGGAUUAGAUACCCGAGGAGUC